ACUUAGGUAGUUUAAAUAAAAACUUUGGUUUGUGGUAUCAAUGAUGCAUAAUUCAUGCCUUAAGUC
RNAcentral lists this transfer RNA (66 nucleotides) under Grylloblatta sculleni. RNAcentral's name for it is "tRNA-His". Lineage: Eukaryota; Metazoa; Arthropoda; Insecta; Grylloblattodea; Grylloblattidae. The record is from RNAcentral.